AUUGAACGCUGGCGGCAUGCCUUACACAUGCAAGUCGAACGGCAGCACGGGGGCAACCCUGGUGGCGAGUGGCGAACGGGUGAGUAACGCAUCGGAACGUGCCCAGUAGUGGGGGAUAACCAGUCGAAAGACUGGCUAAUACCGCAUACGACCUAAGGGUGAAAGCGGGGGACCGUAAGGCCUCGCGCUAUUGGAGCGGCCGAUGUCUGAUUAGCUAGUUGGUGAGGUAAAGGCUCACCAAGGCGACGAUCAGUAGCUGGUCUGAGAGGAUGACCAGCCACACUGGGACUGAGACACGGCCCAGACUCCUACGGGAGGCAGCAGUGGGGAAUUUUGGACAAUGGGCGCAAGCCUGAUCCAGCCAUGCCGCGUGCGGGAAGAAGGCCUUCGGGUUGUAAACCGCUUUUGGCAGGAACGAAACGGCAUCCCCUAAUACGGGGUGUUAAUGACGGUACCUGCAGAAUAAGCACCGGCUAACUACGUGCCAGCAGCCGCAGUAA
This 500-nucleotide ribosomal RNA is filed under the name uncultured bacterium. RNAcentral's name for it is "partial 16S ribosomal RNA". It matches the Rfam family "Bacterial small subunit ribosomal RNA", at positions 29 to 523 of the family's 1533-position model. The record is from RNAcentral.